GAUGAACGCUGGCGGCGUGCUUAACACAUGCAAGUCGAGCGGGCAAUUUAUCUAGCACUGAUUACUUCAAAUGGAAAUCAUAAGUGUAAUCAUGAAUUUCUACCUUUAAUAAAGAAAAAAGAAAUUCAUGUACGCAAAUAGUGAUAACACAUUUUAGUGAAGUGAUGAGUGCUGGAUAAAUUGCUAGCGGCGGACGGGUGCGUAACACGUGGGUAACCUGCCCCUAUCACUGGGAUAACACACUGAAAAGUGUGCUAAUACCAGAUAAUAUAAGCUUUUGGCAUCAUUAGCUUAUCAAAGAAUUUCGGAUAGGGAUGGGCCCGCGUCUGAUUAGCUAGUUGGUGAGGUAACGGCUCACCAAGGCAACGAUCAGUAGCCGACCUGAGAGGGUGAUCGGCCACACUGGAACUGAGACACGGUCCAGACUCCUACGGGAGGCAGCA
This 443-nucleotide ribosomal RNA is filed under the name uncultured bacterium. RNAcentral describes it as "bacterial SSU rRNA". It matches the Rfam family "Bacterial small subunit ribosomal RNA", at positions 28 to 353 of the family's 1533-position model. The record is from RNAcentral.